RNAcentral lists this long non-coding RNA (3528 nucleotides) under Homo sapiens (human). RNAcentral describes it as "HSALNT0190541". The record is from RNAcentral. Lineage: Eukaryota; Metazoa; Chordata; Mammalia; Primates; Hominidae.
CCCGGCCCGCCCCUUCCAGGCGCGCGGGUUUCUCCCGACAGCGUCGCGGAACCCGGAAAGCCGGGCGCUAGGGCUGCGUCUGCUGGGGCUGUGCUCGGGUCGCUUCCUCAACCUCCCGGAAACUGCAAAUUCCUCUGCGAGCCGUCCGCCCGCCCCCAGCCUCGCUGGCUCGAGUUUCGGAGAGGGCGGGAGCAGAGCGGGGAACUUUCUCUGCGUCCACUCCCUGCUCGCCCCCGCACCAGGGUCCUGUAGGGGUGGGUGGGGGUUGCCCGGCCGAGGGACCCCCCAGGUCCCACGGCUUCCUGCAGCCGCAACGCCCAGUCCUGAACCCCAGCAGCUCGCCCCUCCAGGAGGAUUUCAAGUUGGCAGAGAUGGGUGGGGAGGUCAAAAACUGGGUUGAGUUUAUUCGAAUGAAAACAUCCUUUCUGGUCAUUCAUUUGAGCUUCGGUCUUACCCUUUUCCCCUUCUUUCUAGCGAGGGCUCACUUCCAAAUAAGAUCGUUAUCUUAGGCGCACUCAGUGCAACUGAAAGGUGAACUAGUUCUAUAGUUACAGAACAAUCGAGUGCUUAUCAAUUAAAUGUGCUUUGUAAAUGUCCCCGCCACAAUCAGCCUUCCACGGUCACCCACAAGGCAUGGUUUAAGUGGUGGGGAUAAGGAGAUCAGGGAAUUCCAUCCAUCCACGUACAAAAAAAGUUUCCAUGUUUUCUAAAACUCUUCAGUCAGCUAAUCCUCUUAAAGCCACCAGUGGGUAACAGUCUUUUACACCUUGGUGUUACUGCACUGAUUUAAAUAAUACUAAUUUCAAGAUCUUGACUGAAAGGUUUUUUUGAAGCUGCAAGCCCUGCUAUAGUUAGCGAGCUUCAGAAGAGGUUUCAUUAGGAGGGGAAGAGAGACGUUAGAAAAGAGAAAAUGUCCAUCCAUCAUAGCCAAACUAGCCAAACUCUCUUACAUUAUCUCCUUCAAUCCUCCGAGCAACUCUGCAAGGGGCUUCUAGAAGCAGAGCUGAGGCUGGGAGAUUAAUGCUGUCCUCAAAGUGAAGAGUCACCACUACUUGUCAAGUCAUGUCAUCUCUGCAGCCACGUGCAUUUUGUAAACUGGGAAGAAUAAACAGACAUUUCUGACAUUUUUGCUUGAGAUUUAACCUCAGCGCGUCAAGAGAUAGAGAGGGGAACAGAAAUAAAUAAAAUGUGGCUAAAUAAGGACUGUUUAUCACAAACACAAGGCAGAGAUCUGGUGACCAUAUCUGACUUUGAAAUCUGUGUCUCCAGGAAGAGGAACAUCACACACCAGGGCCUGAUGUGGGGUGGGGGGAGGGGGGAGGGAUAGCAUUAGGAGAUAUACCUAAUGUAAAUGACGAGUUAAUGGUUGCAGCACACCAACGUGGUACACGUAUACAUAUGUAACAAACCUGCACGUUGUGCACAUGUACCCUAGAACUUAAAGUAUAAUUUAAAAAAAAAAAAGAAAUCUGUGUCUCAUGACAACAGCUUUAGGAAAAUAGAAAUGCUUUUUUGUUCAAGAAAGGCAUUCCAGGGAGAAAUUGAGCCUUCUUAAUAAAUACAAGUAAGAGACCUAACAGUGCCCUCAGAAUUUCUGUGGAGGCCUUAGUGGUAGCCUAAGCUGGGCUGCAUAAAUUGUCCAUAUCAAAGGAAAAUUGCUGAUGGAUAUAAUUCAGCAAUUGUUCUCCCUUGUUCCCUGCUGUGCUAUAUCCAUGCCAUAGCUAUAGCUACAUCCACUCUUUCACUACCUUAAGUACUGAGAUCUUAUUAUAUGCAUAGCACCAUGGAAACUGGGUAAGACAUAAAAGAAGAGUUAGAUAGAUUUCUGGCCUUCAAAACCUUAUAAACUAGUUAACGAAAAAAAUAUUCCCCAUAGAACAAUUAUGUAAUGAUAACAGACUGUGAUUACCCAAUCAAUAAACCUGUGAAGAAUGUGUCAAAAUAUAAGCCAAAGUCAGAAGAAUGUGAUAAGAUUUGGUCAAGGGCCGGGCAAGGUGGCUCACGCCUGUAAUCCCAGCACUUUGAGAGGCCAAAGUGGGCAAGUCACUUGAGGUCAGGAGUUCUAGGUCAGCUUGGCCAACAUGGUGAAACCCCAUCUCUACUAAAAAUACAAAAAAAUUAGCUGGGCAUGGUGGCUUGUGCCUGUAAUCCCAGCUACUCGGGAGGUGUGGAAGGAGAAUUGCUUGAACCCGGGAGGCAGAGGUUGCAGUAAACUGAGAUUGCACCACUGCACUCCAGCCUGGGUGACAGAGUGAGACUCUGUCUCAAAACAAAAUAAAUAAAAGAUUUGGUCAGGAAGCCUUCAAAGGAGGUGGGAUUUAGUUUGAUUCUUAAAGGAGAAGGAUACGUAAGAGGAAUAGAAUAGGAAGUUCAGGGAGAAGACAGGUCACUAGCAAAAACUUAAGCACAAUCUAUUUGCCUGCUAAAUCAAACACUUAAAAUAGGCUAGGUGUGGUUGGCGCAUGCCUGUAAUCCCGGCACUUUGGGAGGCUAAGGUGGGUGGAUCACCUGAGGUCAGGAGUUCGAGACCAGCCUGGGCAACAUGGUGAAACCCCAUCUCUACUAAAAAUACAAAAAUUAGCCAGGCGUGGUGGUGCACGACUGUAAAUCCCAGCCACUAGGAAGGCUGAGGCAGGAGAAUCACUUGAACCUGGGAGGGAAAGGUUGCAGUGAGCUGAGAUUGUGACACUGCACUCCAGCCUGGGCAAUAGAGCGAGACUCUGUCUCAAAAUAAAAAUAAAAAUAAAAUAAAUAAAAUAAAAAAUAAAAUAGGCCGGGUGCCAUGGCUCAUGCCUGUAAUCCCAACAUUUUGGGAGGGUGAGGCAGGUGGAUCACGAGGUCAGGAAAUUGAGACCAGCCUGGCCAACAUGGUGAAACUCUGUCUCUACUAAAAAUACAAAAAUUAGCUGGGUACGGUGGUGCAUGCCUGCAAUCCCAGCUACUCGAGGGGCUGAGGAAGGAGAACUGCUUGAACCCAGGAGGUGGAGGUUGCAGUGAGCGAAGAUCGAGCCACUGCACUCCAGUCUGGGCAACAGAGCAAGGCUCCAUCUCAGGAAAAAAAUUAAAAAAUAAAAUAAAAUGGAGAAAAAUUGACCAGAUAUGUGAAGGCCAACGUGUUAAAAAAAAAUACACUGAGGCUGGGUGCGGUGGCUCACGCCUGUAAUCCUAGCAUUGUAGGAGGCCGAAGUGGGUGGAUCACCUGAGGUUGAGAGUUCGAGAUCAGCCUGGGUGGAUCACCUGAGGUUGAGAGUUCGAGAUCAGCCUGACCAACAUGGAGAAACCCGAUCUCUACUAAAAAUACAAAAUUAACCGGGUGUGGUGGCACAUGCCUGUAAUCCCAGCUACUUGGGAGGCUGAAGCAGGAGAAUCACUUGAGCCUGGGAGGUGGAGGUUGCGGUGAGCUGAGAUCACGCCAUUGCACUCCAGCCUGGGCAACAAGAGCAAAACUCCGUCUCAAAAAAAUAUAUAUAUAUAUACUGAAGAGUUAAGAUUUUAUCUGCAGGGAAUUUGGGAACUAGUGGAGUCAGG